GACGUAGGGCGCGAGCGUUGUCCGGAUUUAUUGGGCGUAAAGAGUGUGUAGGCGGUGUUCCCAGUCUGUUGUGAAAUCUCCCGGCUUAACUGGGAGGGUGCAGCGGAAACUAGAAUGCUAGAGGGUGGGAGAGGUAAGCGGAAUUCCUGGUGUAGCGGUGAAAUGCGUAGAUAUCAGGAGGAACACCUGUGGUGUAGACAGCUUACUGGACCACUUCUGACGCUGAGACACGAAAGCGUGGGUAGCAAACAGG
Molecule: ribosomal RNA, 253 nt
Filed under: uncultured bacterium
Lineage: Bacteria
Description: partial 16S ribosomal RNA
Rfam family: Bacterial small subunit ribosomal RNA
Source: RNAcentral